Molecule: ribosomal RNA, 465 nt
Filed under: uncultured bacterium
Lineage: Bacteria
Description: bacterial SSU rRNA
Rfam family: Bacterial small subunit ribosomal RNA
Source: RNAcentral
CCUACGGGAUGCAGCAGUGGGGAAUAUUGCACAAUGGGCGCAAGCCUGAUGCAGCCAUGCCGCGUGUAUGAAGAAGGCCUUCGGGUUGUAAAGUACUUUCAGCGGGGAGGAAGGUGUUGAGGUUAAUAACCUUGUCGAUUGACGUUACCCGCAGAAGAAGCACCGGCUAACUCCGUGCCAGCAGCCGCGGUAAUACGGAGGGUGCAAGCGUUAAUCGGAAUUACUGGGCGUAAAGCGCACGCAGGCGGUCUGUCAAGUCGGAUGUGAAAUCCCCGGGCUCAACCUGGGAACUGCAUUCGAAACUGGCAGGCUAGAGUCUUGUAGAGGGGGGUAGAAUUCCAGGUGUAGCGGUGAAAUGCGUAGAGAUCUGGAGGAAUACCGGUGGCGAAGGCGGCCCCCUGGACAAAGACUGAAGCUCAGGUGCGAAAGCGUGGGGAGCAAACAGGAUUAGAUACCCUUGUAGUC